This 250-nucleotide ribosomal RNA is filed under the name uncultured bacterium. RNAcentral's name for it is "partial 16S ribosomal RNA". It matches the Rfam family "Bacterial small subunit ribosomal RNA", at positions 524 to 773 of the family's 1533-position model. The record is from RNAcentral.
UACGUAGGGUGCGAGCGUUGUUCGGAAUCAUUGGGCGUAAAGCGUGAGUAGGUGGUUUGCUAAGUCGGGUGUGAAAUCCCUGGGCUCAACCCAGGAAGUGCAUUCGAAACUAGCUGGCUAGAAGAUGGUAGAGGAAGGUGGAAUUCCAAGUGUAGAGGUGAAAUUCGUAGAUAUUUGGAGGAAUACCGGCGGCGAAGGCGGCCUUCUGGACCAUUCUUGACACUGAGACACGAAAGCGUGGGUAGCAAAC